Long non-coding RNA from Mytilus californianus (California mussel), 621 nucleotides. RefSeq lists it as uncharacterized. The transcript has 5 exons. NCBI's taxonomy places the organism in Eukaryota, Metazoa, Mollusca, Bivalvia, Mytilida, Mytilidae. The record is from RefSeq and is a predicted model, not a curated record.
UUGGUUCGUCUGUAAGUCUCGACAUGUAGUCUGGUUAAACUCAUCACAAAGACAUGGUGACCAGUUGAGCUAAACAGACUCCUUGGAGCCUCUAGUUUCCAAAGUUUUCUGAUUACAAUGCAGAUUAUUUGUUUAAGGUUUGGAUCACUCAGAUCUUAUUAAAAUGAAUGCAGCAGAUAUAAUGUGCAGAACUCAGAAAGUACUACAUUUAUGAUGGAGUGGAUUUUGCAUUAAAAUGCAUGAAACAGAGAAACAGAUAUAGUGAAUUUCUACAAUGGGCAGUAUUUAAUUUGUCCUGUGCUUGUUAGAAGAAGAUUGUGAGAACUACAAGGCAAGAAUCCAAAAUGAGAUAGCUGGAAAAUAAUGAGUAAAGAAGAAAGAAAUUAACAAGUGAUUAUUCCUGCUUGUGAAUGCAUCAGCUGAAAUAGACAUUUGGUUUAUAUUUAGAAGCAAGUUACAAUUUCCCACUGAUAGCAUAACAGUCAGCUGUCAAUCACUGAUCUCAAGUGUUACUAAAAAUAGAUUUAAUGAAAACCAGUCAUGCACUGUAAAGUGAUUACUAAGAAUAGGAAGAAUUGAAACAAUGUGCUUUCCAUCAGCCAGGUCAAAGUGGAGAAUGGC